Molecule: ribosomal RNA, 433 nt
Filed under: uncultured bacterium
Lineage: Bacteria
Description: bacterial SSU rRNA
Rfam family: Bacterial small subunit ribosomal RNA
Source: RNAcentral
GCGAACGCUGGCGGCAGGCUUAACACAUGCAAGUCGAACGGGCACCUUCGGGUGUCAGUGGCAGACGGGUGAGUAACACGUGGGAACGUACCCUUCGGUUCGGAAUAACUCAGGGAAACUUGAGCUAAUACCGGAUACGCCCUUUUGGGGAAAGGUUUACUGCCGAAGGAUCGGCCCGCGUCUGAUUAGCUUGUUGGUGGGGUAACGGCCUACCAAGGCGACGAUCAGUAGCUGGUCUGAGAGGAUGAUCAGCCACACUGGGACUGAGACACGGCCCAGACUCCUACGGGAGGCAGCAGUGGGGAAUAUUGGACAAUGGGCGAAAGCCUGAUCCAGCAAUGCCGCGUGGGUGAAGAAGGUCUUCGGAUCGUAAAGCCCUUUCGACGGGGACGAUGAUGACGGUACCCGUAGAAGAAGCCCCGGCUAACUUCGU